RNAcentral lists this unclassified non-coding RNA (265 nucleotides) under Exophiala lacus. Its description in RNAcentral is "partial internal transcribed spacer region". The stretch from base 1 to 46 matches the Rfam family "Eukaryotic small subunit ribosomal RNA", at positions 1786 to 1831 of the family's 1831-position model. The record is from RNAcentral. Lineage: Eukaryota; Fungi; Ascomycota; Eurotiomycetes; Chaetothyriales; Herpotrichiellaceae.
AAGUCGUAACAAGGUCUCCGUAGGUGAACCUGCGGAGGGAUCAUUACCGAGUUAGGGUCUCACCGGCCCGAUCUCCCAACCCGUUGUCUACUUGACCAUCGUUGCUUCGGCGAGCCCGUCCUCAUGGACCGCCGGGGGGCCUUCGUGCCCCCGGGCCCGCGCUCGUCGAUAGCCCCCCAUUUAAAAUCUUAAUUAAACGUGUCUUGAAUCUAAGUAUUAUUGUUAAAUAAAAACAAAACUUUCAACAACGGAUCUCUUGGUUCUG